RNAcentral lists this long non-coding RNA (466 nucleotides) under Gossypium barbadense (sea-island cotton). RNAcentral's name for it is "long non-coding RNA (GBAR_LNC019394)". Lineage: Eukaryota; Viridiplantae; Streptophyta; Magnoliopsida; Malvales; Malvaceae. The record is from RNAcentral.
GUAUUAUGGGGAACCGAUAAUAUCAAAACUUACGGUGAAUCACUCGCUCAGGUCUUGUGGAUGAUAGGAGUAAGGCCAGUGGCUGAUACAUUUGGUCGAGUCAACAGAGUUGAGCCAGUCAGCCUUGAAGAGCUUGGCAGACCCAGGAUUGAUGUUGUUGUUAACUGCUCUGGAGUUUUCAGAGAUUUAUUCAUUAAUCAGGUACCAAUCCUAGUUUUUUUAAAGCCAUUUUGGAUAUGCAUUCGGUAAUUUGUAUAUAAAGAUCAUUUUUUUCUUACAUUUGCCUACACCUUUCUUACCAUUUCAUGUUCUUAUUUCUUAUUUUUGGUUGACAGAUGAACCUCCUUGAUCGAGCAGUGAAGAUGGUAGCUGAAUUAGAUGAACCUGUGGAGCAGAACUAUGUACGUAAGCACGCCUUAGAGCAAGCCAAAGCCUUGGGAAUUGAGGUUAGAGAAGCUGCAACAAG